This 450-nucleotide ribosomal RNA is filed under the name uncultured Paraglomus. Its description in RNAcentral is "SSU rRNA". It matches the Rfam family "Eukaryotic small subunit ribosomal RNA", at positions 569 to 1025 of the family's 1831-position model. Lineage: Eukaryota; Fungi; Glomeromycota; Glomeromycetes; Paraglomerales; Paraglomeraceae. The record is from RNAcentral.
AGCAGCCGCGGUAAUUCCAGCUCCAAUAGCGUAUAUUAAAGUUGUUGUGGUUAAAAAGCUCGUAGUUGAACCUUGGGCCUGGCUGGCCGGUCCGCCUCACCGCGUGUACUGGUCCGGCCGGGCCUUUCCCUCUGUGGAACCCCAUGCCCUUCACUGGGUGUGGCGGGGAAACAGGACUUUUACUGUGAAAAAUUAGAGUGCUCCAGGCAGGCCUAUGCUCGAAUACAUUAGCAUGGAAUAAUAGAAUAGGACGUGUGGUUCUAUUUUGUUGGUUUCUAGGACCGCCGUAAUGAUUAAUAGGGACAGUCGGGGGCAUCAGUAUUCAAUUGUCAGAGGUGAAAUUCUUGGAUUUAUUGAAGACUAACUACUGCGAAAGCAUUUGCCAAGGAUGUUUUCAUUAAUCAAGAACGAAAGUUAGGGGAUCGAAGACGAUCAGAUACCGUCGUAGUC